This 109-nucleotide non-coding RNA is filed under the name Brassica rapa subsp. pekinensis (Chinese cabbage). The record is from RNAcentral. Lineage: Eukaryota; Viridiplantae; Streptophyta; Magnoliopsida; Brassicales; Brassicaceae.
UGCAACCCUUGAAUGUGUUUGUUGAUUGACAUCUAUGCAUAUUGAUCAUCCUCGUGUUGAUGAUCGAUUCGUUUAGAUGACCAUCAACAAAUACUUUCAUGGUUUUGCA